GGUGGCUACCCCCAGCGGGGUACCAUCCUCGUGUUUCUUAGGUUGUGUCCUUUAUAAGGUCUGCUGGGUGCUUCCUUUUUAGUCUUCUGUCCAUGUUUACGGUUUUGUACGUUUCCGCAGCUAGCCAGUUUGGGUGUGUCGCUAUUCUUGAUUUGUAUUUUUCUGAGUCAGUUCGCUGGUGAGUGCCGAGACGUGCAGACGCGUGUCCAGUGCCCUGUGAAGUUCACAAAACUCCACGUGACGCCCAUCUGUCGAAAGCGAAUCCAACUAACCUAGCUAAGGGUUAACAGCCUCUCGACUAGUUCUUUCACACUGAAUUAACU
RNAcentral lists this unclassified non-coding RNA (323 nucleotides) under Bombus terrestris (buff-tailed bumblebee). RNAcentral describes it as "misc RNA ENSBTSG00005036654.1". The record is from RNAcentral. Lineage: Eukaryota; Metazoa; Arthropoda; Insecta; Hymenoptera; Apidae.